Arabidopsis thaliana (thale cress) is the source of this 340-nucleotide long non-coding RNA. RefSeq annotates it as other RNA. The record is from RefSeq. The transcript has a single exon. NCBI's taxonomy places the organism in Eukaryota, Viridiplantae, Streptophyta, Magnoliopsida, Brassicales, Brassicaceae.
AUGGGUGGGCAUCAAAGUUUUCACGUGUGUCGUAUCAAUAAACCCAACAACCAUAUCAAAGGGGAAGAUCUCUUUAGUUCACAGUUCCAAGAUUUUCAUAACUCUAAUUUACAUUUAUACCCUUCCGUACCACGCCAAAGUAUACGACUUUCGUAUGGUCAAAUUGUCCGCCUCAAAAUAUAUAAUUCUUUUUUUUAUUUCUGCAGUGUAUUUGUCGGAGCGGUGGGAAACAAAUCACACGUGUGUCUGCUUCUAACGCGUCUUUACCGUCACGUGAUAGAUCGUUUCUCGCACGUGCCGUCUGCGGUUGAAAGUUGUUGAUAAGUUUGGUGUUUUGCAG